This 1195-nucleotide ribosomal RNA is filed under the name Saturnius gibsoni. RNAcentral describes it as "eukaryotic LSU rRNA". It matches the Rfam family "Eukaryotic large subunit ribosomal RNA", at positions 86 to 919 of the family's 3401-position model. The record is from RNAcentral. Lineage: Eukaryota; Metazoa; Platyhelminthes; Trematoda; Azygiida; Hemiuridae.
ACUGCGAGUGAAGAGGGAAGAGCCCAGCACCGAAGCCUGUGGUCGUUUGGCCAUUGGGCAAUGUGGUGUUUAGGUUGGUUUGUCGGAGUCAUUGCUCUACUCUAAGUCCAGUUAUGAAUACGGCUCUGGACAUGGCCCAUAGAGGGUGAAAGGCCCGUGUGAGUAGAGACCUCGGCGGUGACUUCCGUGGCUAACCUUGGAGUCGGGUUGUUUGAGAAUGCAGCCCAAAGUGGGUGGUAAACUCCAUCCAAGGCUCAAUACUGGCACGAGUCCGAUAGCGAACAAGUACCGUGAGGGAAAGUUGAAAAGUACUCUGAAGAGAGAGUAAACAGUACGUGAAACCGCUCAGAGGUAAACGGGUAGAGUUGAACUGCAAGCCUGGGAGAUUCAGCUGGUGAGCUUGGCUUGAGCUUGGUCAUACCGGCCUGGCUUGGAGGUCUGCUAAUGCAGGUAGUUCGCGUUGCACUUGUCAAGUGUUGCGUACCUUCUUGUCGGGGGCUGGCUCGUCAGUGCACUUCUCUCAGGUGUUCACCACGACCGUCGCUGCUGUCUGUCUGCUGUGGUCGAACCAGCGUAUCAGGACUCUCGUAGUUUUGGUACGCUGGGAUGGCAGGUAGCUUGAUCGCCUUCGGGCUUUUGAGUGUAAUAGCUGUCCAUAGUAGAGCUGUGCAGUGUGGCGGAGACGGCGGCUGUUUGCAGCGUGAGUGCUGGCUCGUUGUCGAGGUUCUGCUUGGUUGUCAAGUUGCUUGGUUCUCCAGGCCUGGCAAUGGUAGAGCUUUGUGCAGCGGGCGGUGUUCAUGUUGUGAUUAAUGGGGCCGAUAGUCUGUGGUGUAGUGGUAAGCUCUCUACCCGACCCGUCUUGAAACACGGACCAAGGAGUUUAACAUGUGCGCGAGUCAUUGGGUAUACGAAACCUACAGGCGCAAUGAAAGUGAAUGUCCGGCUUGUCUGGACUGAGGUGAGAUCCUGUCGUUUCUCUUGCUACCAAGCUUUUGAACGGCGGGCGCAUCACCGGCCCGUCCCAUGGUGUGGUCAUGGCCUCUUGUAGACUGUGCAUCACCGGGGUGGAGCAUGAGCGUACAUGUUGAGACCCGAAAGAUGGUGAACUAUGCUUGUGCAGGUUGAAGCCAGAGGAAACUCUGGUGGAGGACCGCAGCGAUUCUGACGUGCAAAUCGAUCGUCAAACAUGAGCAUA